GAAGAGGGCCAGAUGAUCGCCGGUCAGGGCAACCGGGCCGGAGGAAAGUCCGGGCUCCACAGGGCAGGGUGCUGGGUAACUCCCAGGAGGGGCGACCCUACGGAAAGUGCCACAGAAACCAGACCGCCGUGGCCUAACCUCCACGGUAAGGGUGAAAGGGUGAGGUAAGAGCUCACCGGUGCCGGUGGCGACACCGGCAGCCAGGAAAACCCCACCCGGAGCAAGACCAAAUAGGGGAGCGUCGAAGGGUGGCCCGCCCGAAGCUCCCGGGUAGGUCGCAGGAGGCCCCGGGCAACCGGGGUCCCAGAGGAAUGAUCAUCACCGGAAAAUUCCGGCACAGAACCCGGCUUACGGCCCUCUUCGCCA
RNAcentral lists this RNase P RNA (366 nucleotides) under Desulfobacca acetoxidans. Its description in RNAcentral is "RNase P RNA component class A". It matches the Rfam family "Bacterial RNase P class A". From Rfam's summary of the family: Ribonuclease P (RNase P) is a ubiquitous endoribonuclease, found in archaea, bacteria and eukarya as well as chloroplasts and mitochondria. Its best characterised activity is the generation of mature 5'-ends of tRNAs by cleaving the 5'-leader elements of precursor-tRNAs. Cellular RNase Ps are ribonucleoproteins. The record is from RNAcentral. Lineage: Bacteria; Pseudomonadati; Thermodesulfobacteriota; Desulfobaccia; Desulfobaccales; Desulfobaccaceae.